This 489-nucleotide ribosomal RNA is filed under the name uncultured bacterium. RNAcentral describes it as "partial 16S ribosomal RNA". It matches the Rfam family "Bacterial small subunit ribosomal RNA", at positions 30 to 506 of the family's 1533-position model. The record is from RNAcentral.
AUUGAACGCUGGCGGCAGGCCUAACACAUGCAAGUCGAACGGUAACAGGAAGAAGCUUGCUUCUUUGCUGACGAGUGGCGGACGGGUGAGUAAUGUCUGGGAACCUGCCUGAUGGAGGGGGAUAACUACUGGAAACGGUAGCUAAUACCGCAUAACGUCGCAAGACCAAAAAGGGGGACCUUCGGGCCUCUUGCCAUCGGAUGUGCCCAGAUGGGAUUAGCUAGUAGGUGGGGUAACGGCUCACCUAGGCGACGAUCCCUAGCUGGUCUGAGAGGAUGACCAGCCACACUGGAACUGAGACACGGUCCAGACUCCUACGGGAGGCAGCAGGGGGGAAUAUUGCACAAUGGGCGCAAGCCUGAUGCAGCCAUGCCGCGUGUAUGAAGAAGGCCUUCGGGUUGUAAAGUACUUUCAGCGGGGAGGAAGGGAGUAAAGUUAAUACCUUUGCUCAUUGACGUUACCCGCAGAAGAAGCACCGGCUAACUCCGU